UAGAGUUUGAUCCUGGCUCAGAUUGAACGCUGGCGGCAUGCCUAACACAUGCAAGUCGAACGGCAGCACAGGUAGCAAUACCGGGUGGCGAGUGGCGGACGGGUGAGGAAUACAUCGGGACCUGCCCAGACGUGGGGGAUAACGUAGGGAAACUUACGCUAAUACCGCAUACGUCCUACGGGAGAAAGCGGGGGAUCUUCGGACCUCGCGCGGUUGGAUGGACCGAUGUUCGAUUAGCUAGUUGGUGAGGUAAUGGCUCACCAAGGCGACGAUCGAUAGCUGGUCUGAGAGGAUGAUCAGCCACACUGGGACUGAGACACGGCCCAGACUCCUACGGGAGGCAGCAGUGGGGAAUAUUGGACAAUGGGCGCAAGCCUGAUCCAGCAAUGCCGCGUGUGUGAAGAAGGCCUUCGGGUUGUAAAGCACUUUUAUCAGGAGCGAAAUACUACGGGUUAAUACCUCGUGGGGCUGACGGUACCUGAGGAAUAAGCACCGGCUAACUUCGUGCCAGCAGCCGCGGUAAUACGAAGGGUGCAAGCGUUAAUCGGAAUUACUGGGCGUAAAGCGUGCGUAGGCGGUUUUUUAAGUCUGCUGUGAAAUCCCCGGGCUCAACCUGGGAAUGGCAGUGGANNCUGGAAAGC
RNAcentral lists this ribosomal RNA (641 nucleotides) under bacterium enrichment culture clone PF-2_25. RNAcentral's name for it is "bacterial SSU rRNA". It matches the Rfam family "Bacterial small subunit ribosomal RNA", at positions 1 to 641 of the family's 1533-position model. The record is from RNAcentral.